CCGCUUGAGGAUGAGUCUGCGGCCCAUCAGCUUGUUGGUAGUGUAAAGGACUACCAAGGCAAAGACGGGUAGCUGGUCUGAGAGGAUGAACAGCCACACUGGAACUGAGACACGGUCCAG
Molecule: ribosomal RNA, 120 nt
Filed under: uncultured bacterium
Lineage: Bacteria
Description: partial 16S ribosomal RNA
Rfam family: Bacterial small subunit ribosomal RNA
Source: RNAcentral